This 205-nucleotide ribosomal RNA is filed under the name uncultured bacterium. RNAcentral's name for it is "partial 16S ribosomal RNA". It matches the Rfam family "Bacterial small subunit ribosomal RNA", at positions 568 to 774 of the family's 1533-position model. The record is from RNAcentral.
CGCGCAGGCGGUCAGAUAAGUCGAAUGUGAAAGCCCCCGGCUCAACUGGGAGGGUCAUUCGAUACUGUUCGACUCGAAGGCAGGAGAGGGAAGCGGAAUUCCCGGUGUAGUGGUGAAAUGCGUAGAUAUCGGGAGGAACACCAGUGGCGAAGGCGGCUUCCUGGCCUGUUCUUGACGCUGAGGCGCGAAAGCUAGGGAGCAAACG